UUUCCUACGGGAGGCAGCAGUGAGGAAUAUUGGUCAAUGGACGAGAGUCUGAACCAGCCAAGUAGCGUGAAGGAUGACUGCCCUAUGGGUUGUAAACUUCUUUUAUAUGGGAAUAAAACGUUCUACGUGUGGGUUUUUGUAUGUACCAUAUGAAUAAGGAUCGGCUAACUCCGUGCCAGCAGCCGCGGUAAUACGGAGGAUCCGAGCGUUAUCCGGAUUUAUUGGGUUUAAAGGGAGCGUAGGUGGAUUGUUAAGUCAGUUGUGAAAGUUUGCGGCUCAACCGUAGAAUUGCAGCUGAAACUGGG
RNAcentral lists this ribosomal RNA (305 nucleotides) under uncultured bacterium. RNAcentral describes it as "bacterial SSU rRNA". It matches the Rfam family "Bacterial small subunit ribosomal RNA", at positions 335 to 637 of the family's 1533-position model. The record is from RNAcentral.